Molecule: ribosomal RNA, 468 nt
Filed under: uncultured bacterium
Lineage: Bacteria
Description: partial 16S ribosomal RNA
Rfam family: Bacterial small subunit ribosomal RNA
Source: RNAcentral
GACGAACGCUGGCGGCGUGCUUAACACAUGCAAGUCGAACGGAAAGGCCCUGCUUUUGUGGGGUGCUCGAGUGGCGAACGGGUGAGUAACACGUGAGUAACCUGCCCUUGACUUUGGGAUAACUUCAGGAAACUGGGGCUAAUACCGGAUAGGAGCUCCUGCUGCAUGGUGGGGGUUGGAAAGUUUCGGCGGUUGGGGACGGACUCGCGGCUUAUCAGCUUGUUGGUGGGGUAGUGGCUUACCAAGGCUUUGACGGGUAGCCGGCCUGAGAGGGUGACCGGCCACAUUGGGACUGAGAUACGGCCCAGACUCCUACGGGAGGCAGCAGUGGGGAAUAUUGCACAAUGGGCGGAAGCCUGAGGCAGCAACGCCGCGUGCGGGAUGACGGCCUUCGGGUUGUAAACCGCUUUCGCCUGUGACGAAGCGUGAGUGACGGUAAUGGGUAAAGAAGCACCGGCUAACUACGUG